UUGAAAUAAUUUCAUCUGCCU
This 21-nucleotide non-coding RNA is filed under the name Arabidopsis thaliana (thale cress). The record is from RNAcentral. Lineage: Eukaryota; Viridiplantae; Streptophyta; Magnoliopsida; Brassicales; Brassicaceae.